This 333-nucleotide ribosomal RNA is filed under the name uncultured Gemmatimonadota bacterium. Its description in RNAcentral is "bacterial SSU rRNA". It matches the Rfam family "Bacterial small subunit ribosomal RNA", at positions 568 to 898 of the family's 1533-position model. The record is from RNAcentral. Lineage: Bacteria; Pseudomonadati; Gemmatimonadota.
CACGUAGGCGGCCUUGUAAGUCUCACUGUGAAAGUCCGGGGCUCAACCCCGGGAUGCCAGGGGAUACUGCGAGGCUCGAGACAAGUAGAGGUUGGUAGAAUUCCGGGUGUAGCGGUGGAAUGCGUAGAGAUCCGGAGGAAUACCAGAGGCGAAGGCGGCCAACUGGGCUUGUUCUGACGCUGAGGUGCGAAAGCGUGGGGAGCGAACAGGAUUAGAUACCCUGGUAGUCCACGCCGUAAACGAUGGGCACUAGAUGCCGGUGGGAACGACCCCAUCGGUGUCGAAGCUAACGCAUUAAGUGCCCCGCCUGGGGAGUACGGCCGCAAGGCUGAA